GUCUUGAUUUUUUGAAUUAAUAUUUACCAUAUUUCAGCCAAAUGUAGUUAAACGUCUAGAGUGUCGCCAUGUAACAUGCUAAAAAAGAGCCGUUAGCUUAUUUGCUGUUUUAUCUGUUGUCAAAGAAUUGGCGCUUUUUCAUUUGAAUUUGUCUUUGGCACAAGAGCCGUAAUAUCACAUUAAACCUAAUUACGAGGCACUCAUAACAUAAUUUGGUUUUCUGUGUGAAUAGAUUUGCCAACUGACUCUUCAGUUACAUUGUGUAUUUACUGCACCAUGGUGUUAGUGAGAUUUUGGACAUUGAACAGCUUUAGCUAAUAUCAUCAGCGGCAUUAUGCUAGCUUACAUCCCUACCCCUCCUGGCCUCACCUGCUGUCCUUUUGUUUUUGUUUUUGUUUUUUUUGCUGCACAUUGAGAGACGACCUCUAUUCUGCAUUUCACCAGGAGUCAGCUGAUGGAUUGUGGGUUCAAGGUGUUAUGAUAAAAUGCAGCAUUCCAGUGCAUCCCAACCAUGCCUUUACAGUCAAAGUUUCUGACGGAGCUGAGUUUCUCUCUGACAGUCUGCUGAAAGUGUUUGCAAAGUGAUCGGGGGAACAGGGCACAAAGCUAAAGGAUGUAGCUGCCAUUAUGACAUCAAGGAUGACAUUAAUGCUCGGAGUCCCUCAUCAAAGUGCUCCGCAUCUGUGUGAAAGACAAUUGCAACAUCUUGGUGCAGGAGUUCAUGGACUUGACUGAGGCCACUGCACAGAUUGAGAAAACCACAAUGAACAUCUGUCUCCAGAGAUGCGCCAGGCAAUGACUUUUCUGAUGUUGUUCUUCAAGAUCUGGAUAACGUGACCUUUGCAGUAGCCAUGCUGUUUGGACCUUUUUUAUUCCUUCAACAUGAGUUACCCAUCACAACUCUGCUACACUUUUGAGGUGAUUCAAUGGGUGGUAAUGGAGUUGGAUGCAACUCAGCUCUCAAGAAAAGCUCACAACUAAGACAAAACUGCUCCUGCAACGAAGCUCAC
Long non-coding RNA from Astatotilapia calliptera (eastern happy), 1010 nucleotides. The record is from Ensembl. Lineage: Eukaryota; Metazoa; Chordata; Actinopteri; Cichliformes; Cichlidae.